AGUGAACGCUGGCGGCAGGCCUACCACAUGCAAGUCGAACGGCAGCACAGAGGAGCUUGCUCCUUGGGUGGCGAGCGGCAGACGGGUGAGUAACGCGUGGGAAUCUUCCUAUCGGUACGGAAUAGCUCAGGGAAACUUGGGGUAAUACCGCAUACGCCCUUCGGGGGAAAGAUUUAUCGCCGAUAGAUGAGCCUAGGUCG
This 200-nucleotide ribosomal RNA is filed under the name uncultured bacterium. RNAcentral describes it as "partial 16S ribosomal RNA". It matches the Rfam family "Bacterial small subunit ribosomal RNA", at positions 29 to 238 of the family's 1533-position model. The record is from RNAcentral.